CAGGUCAGCAUACUGCCGUGAAUACGUUCCCGGGCCUUGUACACACCGCCCGUCACACCAUGAGAGUUGGGAAUACCCGAAGCCUGUGAGCUAACUUUAGAGGCAGCAGUCGAAGGUAGAAUCAAUGAUUGGGGUGAAGUCGUAACAAGGUAAC
RNAcentral lists this ribosomal RNA (154 nucleotides) under uncultured bacterium. RNAcentral describes it as "partial 16S ribosomal RNA". It matches the Rfam family "Bacterial small subunit ribosomal RNA", at positions 1345 to 1500 of the family's 1533-position model. The record is from RNAcentral.